RNAcentral lists this ribosomal RNA (184 nucleotides) under uncultured bacterium. RNAcentral's name for it is "partial 16S ribosomal RNA". It matches the Rfam family "Bacterial small subunit ribosomal RNA", at positions 358 to 539 of the family's 1533-position model. The record is from RNAcentral.
GGAAUUGGAAUGGGCGAAGCCUGAUCCAGCCAUGCCGCGUGUGUGAAGAAGGUCUUCGGAUUGUAAAGCACUUUAAGUUGGGAGGAAGGGCUGUAGGCUAAUAUCCUGCAGUUUUGACGUUACCAACAGAAUAAGCACCGGCUAACUUCGUGCCAGCAGCCGCGGUAAUACGAAGGGUGCAAGC